RNAcentral lists this ribosomal RNA (469 nucleotides) under uncultured bacterium. RNAcentral's name for it is "bacterial SSU rRNA". It matches the Rfam family "Bacterial small subunit ribosomal RNA", at positions 336 to 797 of the family's 1533-position model. The record is from RNAcentral.
UUCCUACGGGUGGCAGCAGUAGGGAAUAUUGCGCAAUGGGCGAAAGCCUGACGCAGCGAUGCCGCGUGAGUGACGAAGGUCUUCGGAUUGUAAAGCUCUUUUCUGAGGGAAGAAUAGGUCUGGUAGGAAAUGACUGGAUUCUGACGGUACCUCAGGAAUAAGGAACGGCUAACUCCGUGCCAGCAGCCGCGGUAAUACGGAGGUUCCAAGCGUUGUUCGGAAUUACUGGGCGUAAAGGGAGCGCAGGCGGACGGGUCAGUUUAAAGUGGAAUCCCAGGGCUCAACCCUGGACGUGCUUUGGAUACUGCCUGUCUUGAGUUCGUGAGAGGAAAGUGGAAUUCAGGGUGUAGCGGUGAAAUGCUUAGAUAUCCUGAGGAACACCAGUGGCGAAAGCGACUUUCUGGCACGAAACUGACGCUGAGGCUCGAAAGCAUGGGUAGCGAACGGGAUUAGAUACCCGUGUAGUCUC